CCUACGGGGGGCAGCAGUAGGGAAUAUUGCUCAAUGGGCGAAACCCUGAAGCAGCAACGCCGCGUGGAGGAUGAAGGUUUUCGGAUUGUAAACUCCUUUUGUUAGAGAAGAUAAUGACGGUAUCUAACGAAUAAGCACCGGCUAACUCCGUGCCAGCAGCCGCGGGCAUACGGAGGGUGCAAGCGUUACUCGGAAUCACUGGGCGUAAAGAGCGCGUAGGCGGGAUAGCAAGUCAGAUGUGAAAUCCUAUGGCUUAACCAUAGAACUGCAUUUGAAACUGUUAUUCUAGAGUAUGGGAGAGGUAGGUGGAAUUCGUGGUGUAGGGGUAAAAUGCGUAGAGAUCAAGAGGAAUACUGAUUGCGAAGGCGACCUGCUAGAACAUAACUGACGCUGAUGCGCGAAAGCGUGGGGAGCAAACAGGAUUAGAUACCCCGGUAGUC
Molecule: ribosomal RNA, 440 nt
Filed under: uncultured bacterium
Lineage: Bacteria
Description: partial 16S ribosomal RNA
Rfam family: Bacterial small subunit ribosomal RNA
Source: RNAcentral